Molecule: long non-coding RNA, 494 nt
Filed under: Felis catus (domestic cat)
Lineage: Eukaryota; Metazoa; Chordata; Mammalia; Carnivora; Felidae
Description: lncRNA (ENSFCAG00000053253.1)
Source: RNAcentral
CUUGCGUGUCACCUGCCUGGGUCUGGCAGAAGGAGGCUCAAUUGAUUGGGUCGCCUUGGCAGUAAAUCUGGCCCAGUUGUUUCCACCUGAGAAAUCUGGAAAGAAUGCAAUGAAAAUGUCGGACUUCUCAAAGUUGCAGGACAAAUGAAGAACCGAAGAAUUUUCACUGAAGAGGGAAGAGCCCAAACACAAUCUGGUGUUUGAACAGAUGUCAGUGUUACAGCCAUCAACGUACCUAAACUUUACAAAGCAUCUGGCAGAAAGAGAAGCACUGAAAUUGUCAGAGGAUCUACUCACUACAUUUUUACUCUUGAAGGCGAGGGAGGACAUACAUUUAUGAGAGGAAGCGGGGCUCCCUCAAUUCAUAUCAGAAGGAAACAGAGAAGAACAUAUCUUGAAACGUUUUGCACCAUAAAGGAGCAGAUACAUGUACGUAAAUUGGCAAAUUAGUUGUCGCUCUCUGUCUUCUGCCAACGUGGCACGAUUCACCUGAG